Molecule: non-coding RNA, 31 nt
Filed under: Mus musculus (house mouse)
Lineage: Eukaryota; Metazoa; Chordata; Mammalia; Rodentia; Muridae
Source: RNAcentral
UUCACCUGCGUGCCAUUGGGCUUGGCCAUGU